RNAcentral lists this ribosomal RNA (1104 nucleotides) under Vibrio sp. D5037. Its description in RNAcentral is "bacterial SSU rRNA". It matches the Rfam family "Bacterial small subunit ribosomal RNA", at positions 47 to 1135 of the family's 1533-position model. Lineage: Bacteria; Pseudomonadati; Pseudomonadota; Gammaproteobacteria; Vibrionales; Vibrionaceae. The record is from RNAcentral.
CGUUGUGAAGCCUCUCGUGCGCUAGGGUGGUCGCCUUGGUGAGUUGUUUUCUUUGCUGAGGAGCGGCGGACGGGUGAGUAAUGGCUGCGAAAUUGCCCUGGUGUGGGGGAUAACCAUUGGAAACGAUGGCUAAUACCGCAUAAUCUCUUCGGAGCAAAGAGGGGGACCUUCGGGCCUCUCGCGUCAGGAUAUGCCUAGGUGGGAUUAGCUAGUUGGUGAGGUAAUGGCUCACCAAGGCGACGAUCCCUAGCUGGUCUGAGAGGAUGAUCAGCCACACUGGAACUGAGACACGGUCCAGACUCCUACGGGAGGCAGCAGUGGGGAAUAUUGCACAAUGGGCGCAAGCCUGAUGCAGCCAUGCCGCGUGUAUGAAGAAGGCCUUCGGGUUGUAAAGUACUUUCAGUCGUGAGGAAGGCAUUAACGUUAAUAGCGUUGGUGUUUGACGUUAGCGACAGAAGAAGCACCGGCUAACUCCGUGCCAGCAGCCGCGGUAAUACGGAGGGUGCGAGCGUUAAUCGGAAUUACUGGGCGUAAAGCGCAUGCAGGUGGUUCGUUAAGUCAGAUGUGAAAGCCCGGGGCUCAACCUCGGAAUUGCAUUUGAAACUGGCGGACUAGAGUACUGUAGAGGGGGGUAGAAUUUCAGGUGUAGCGGUGAAAUGCGUAGAGAUCUGAAGGAAUACCGGUGGCGAAGGCGGCCCCCUGGACAGAUACUGACACUCAGAUGCGAAAGCGUGGGGAGCAAACAGGAUUAGAUACCCUGGUAGUCCACGCCGUAAACGAUGUCUACUUGGAGGUUGUGGCCUUGAGCCGUGGCUUUCGGAGCUAACGCGUUAAGUAGACCGCCUGGGGAGUACGGUCGCAAGAUUAAAACUCAAAUGAAUUGACGGGGGCCCGCACAAGCGGUGGAGCAUGUGGUUUAAUUCGAUGCAACGCGAAGAACCUUACCUACUCUUGACAUCCAGAGAAGCCAGCAGAGAUGCAGUGUGCCUUCGGGAACUCUGAGACAGUGCUGCAUGGCUGUCGUCAGCUCGUGUUGUGAAAUGUUGGGUUAAGUCCCGCAACGAGCGCAACCCUUAUCCUUGUUUGCCAGCGAGUAAUGUCGGG